Molecule: long non-coding RNA, 401 nt
Organism: Ipomoea nil (Japanese morning glory)
Lineage: Eukaryota; Viridiplantae; Streptophyta; Magnoliopsida; Solanales; Convolvulaceae
Exons: 3
Source: RefSeq, a predicted model, not a curated record
GGACAAUGAAGUACGCAAUCAAGUUUCUUCUAAUCUUGCGGCGUUUGGUCGUCGGAGUUUCGCCAGAGAUUGAAAGGUUAUUUUGCCAAGCAAUAAUAAUAAUAAUGGCGAAGAUGAUGGUGGUAAGAUACAGUUUGGUGGAGGAGGUGGCGCCGGCGCCGGUGGUUUUCCCGAGAAAGCCGUCGCGUUCUCAUUGUCCUAAGCUGGAGACCAUCAAGGAGGAAGAUAGUAUUAAUGGAGCCCAGCUGCAAGAUAAGCUGCGCUGCACCACCAUCCUUCCUCUCAUCGUCAUAAUAUCGGUUUCAUUAGCUAUGAUAGGGGACCGGAUUCGACAAUAUCCAGGUUAAUUAAUUUAUGAAUUAUUGGAAUAAGGGUGCUUACUUCGUAGCUAGCUAGCUACU